Molecule: long non-coding RNA, 2381 nt
Organism: Paramormyrops kingsleyae
Lineage: Eukaryota; Metazoa; Chordata; Actinopteri; Osteoglossiformes; Mormyridae
Source: RefSeq, a predicted model, not a curated record
UGUCGUUUCUAUCACAUUUGAUCCAGUACCACGAUUGUUGGUAUUGACGAUACCGGUAUUCUUAAGCCUUUUGUGUUCAUUGAAUGGUAAUAGGGGUGAACAAUAUUGGGGGGUGCGGAAUCGUUGCAUACAGCAACACUGAAGGAGCUACAUACACUGCAUCCUUCAAAGGAUGUGGCCCCUGAAUCCAGACGCAGCUUAUAUUUCGGCAUCGAUCAGCACAUCCUUAGAGUCAUUUGUUGAGAAAUAUUUAAAGAGCAGCUCGGGAGUCCUGCUUCCCAUCAUCGGAGCGGCCAUGACGCAUUCGGCCGAGCAGCCUGUAGGCCGCUGCCGUGCCGUCUUGGCGGGAUGGUCCCUGUCCCUCGGAGAGCAGCUAAGCUCAGUACCGAUUUAUGCUGGUGUAUCUAUACUCCACAAAAAGGCGAAUGGAGGUGAGUAUUUUGUUCAGAAAAUUGCACCGAUAGCAUUUUUUUUGUAUUCCCAAAGUUUAAAUUAAGCAAUUACAAAAUAAGUAGAAAAAAAACUGUAUAAAACAGUGCCAUUACUGAUAUCAAUUGUUAUCCAACAUGAAACCAACAAUGAAACCAACAGGCAUAUAUUCCAAAUGAUAAAUGAUAUAUUUAAUUAGGUUUUUUGGUACACUUCCCGUGACCCAGUAGGACAAGUGGGUUGGAAAAUGGCUGGCUGGUACACUUGUUUAUAACACUUUGCACACCCCAUCUUGGACCACUGAACACAUUUGGAGUCAUCUUGGACUAUCCUUCUGUGCAGAAACUUUUAAGGUCCUUAACCUUCUUAGUUUUGCAUAUAUGGGCUGCCGGCUUUUGAAAGGUACCUGAAAUAGCCGUUACAUGUCUUCUGUUUUGUUUUCAUCGACUCAUUGCACUGAUUAUAUACAGGCAUCUCUUUGGUCACUGUAUUGCUGGAAGGUUCACUGACAACCUCAGCUUCCUGGAAAAGGCAAUCAAGUUUUUGGCUCAGAUUAACUAGUCCUUGGUAUAACUUACCUGCCAUUGAUUUUAAAAUCAUCCUCUUCACCAUUGGCACCGAUUCGUAUUAUUACCCUGUAGCAGAUAGUGGUAUGUGUAGUUAUUUCUGUUUUGUCUUAGCACCAAUUUCCUCUCCUUGUGUUUAGCAAAAUGCAUCUUUCUCUUUUGCCUUGAGGAUUUGAUCUGAAGCCAAGUGUAGAAGUACGGUGGCCAAUAAGUGUCAACCUGCUGCAAAUUCAGAAAACACUUCAGAAUUCAACAACUCUGCAAAUUUGCUCACAACACAACAGAAGUUUCGGGGGAACAAUCGUUGAUAAAUUUUCAAAAAGAGGUAUAGGAUGACACAAUACAGUUUAUGACAAUAUAUUUUUUAAUUUGGGCUCCAUUAAAGAUUUAAUAUUUGUUGGUAAUUAAACAAUUAGUUAUUCUUGGCAGGAGCAGCCUUUUAUCUCGGGCUUAACUCCAGCUUUCCCUCACCUUAAAGACGCCGGAAAAUCCCACCAGAAACCACUAUUGGCUCUGAAAUAUCAGAAACAGUUGCGAGAUUGUGUGGUAACGUUGAGUCACGUUCUCCCAUUCUCUGUGAGUUGACAGUUGCUGCUUGUGUACAAACAUAGCUCAGUUCCAUUCAAGCAUCAGUUUGCAAUCAUUACUGAAGUAUGGGAAUAUCUACUAUUACAUCAUUAUGAAAAAACCACUGCAUGCUUGGAUUGUUACUAUUGCUGUGAUUGCUUCAGUUUUGAUUCUGCAAAACGAAUAUACUUCACAGCAUGUAGAAGUCUUGUUAUAAUUAGAGGGUUUCAAUCAUCCUAAUUGACAGCAAUGAUGCACAGGCCUCAGGACAGGCAGGGUGACUAGGAUGACCUCCACAUACGUGUACAAAGUAACUUAAACUGUUGCAAAACAAACGUGGAGUUAAAAAAAUAAUAGUAUUGUGUAUGUACAUAUUUGUUUAAAUUUGACUACAACCCGAUGGAUCCUUCUCUGCCCAGUCUAUCCCAUGACUGACUGCAUGGAGGUAGAACCCUGUUUGCAAAAAAGUUGAGAUGCGUGUAAAAUGUAAACAUAAACAAAGUGCAAUAUUACCCCAAACGUAACUGAAAACAGAACAAAGACAACAUAUCAAAAGUUGAAACUGAGUAAUUUCAUCAUUGUUUAAAAAUUCCCUGUUAGAAAUUUCAUUAUUUCAUUAAUUAUGACAAAUAUACUUGAAUUUGAUGCCAGCAACACAUUUCAGAAAAGUUGGGACAGCAUGUUUACCAGUGUUGCAUCACCUCUUCUUUUAACAACAACCUGUAAACCUUUGGGAACUGGGGAGACCAGGGGGGUGUUCCACGAAGCAGGAUUUCUCCGUUAGCUGGGUUUAACUUAGCUAAAGUUCAUGCUUGUCCA